This 580-nucleotide ribosomal RNA is filed under the name uncultured Glomus. RNAcentral describes it as "eukaryotic LSU rRNA". It matches the Rfam family "Eukaryotic large subunit ribosomal RNA", at positions 204 to 637 of the family's 3401-position model. The record is from RNAcentral. Lineage: Eukaryota; Fungi; Glomeromycota; Glomeromycetes; Glomerales; Glomeraceae.
CAUGGAGGGUGAGAAUCCCGUCCGGUUGAUCAUUGCGUUUUACGAUACGCUUUCUAAGAGUCAAGUUGUUUGGGAUUGCAGCUUAAAAUGGGAGGUAAAUUUCUCCUAAAGCUAAAUACAGGCGAGAGACCGAUAGCGAACAAGUACCGUGAGGGAAAGAUGAAAAGAACUUUGAAAAGAGAGUUAAACAGUACGUGAAAUUGUUGAAAGGGAAACGAUUGAAGCCAGUCGUACCUUCGGGUAAUCAGCCUUUCGGGUGCGAUUCUGUGGAGUGUGAGGAGCUUAACACCUUCAUGCUUUGCAUAUUUGUGCUCUUGGGUGUACUUGCCCGUGUGGUUGGUUAACAUCAAUUUUGGUUAUCAUAAAAUGAUUGGAGGAAUGUAGCUUCGAUCUCGUAUUGAAGUGUUAUAGCCUUCGGUAGAUGUGAUGAACGAGAUUGAGGAUUGCAACGGAUACCCUUUGGGGCUACCUGUCUGGUCUCUGAUCGUUGCUCUGGUGCCGAAAGCUUGCUUACGGUUAUCAAAGUCGAUGGUCAAUAGGUUAGAACGGGUUAAAUUCGUUAAGGAUGUUGACGUAAUGG